CCGCACGGUGAGUAACACGUAUGCAAUCCACCUGUAACAGGGGGAUAACCCGGAGAAAUCCGGACUAAUACCCCAUAAUAUGGGCGCUCCGCAUGGAGAGCCCAUUAAAGAGAGCAAUUUUGGUUACAGACGAGCAUGCGCUCCAUUAGCCAGUUGGCGGGGUAACGGCCCACCAAAGCGACGAUGGAUAGGGGUUCUGAGAGGAAGGUCCCCCACAUUGGAACUGAGACACGGUCCAA
RNAcentral lists this ribosomal RNA (239 nucleotides) under uncultured bacterium. Its description in RNAcentral is "partial 16S ribosomal RNA". It matches the Rfam family "Bacterial small subunit ribosomal RNA", at positions 105 to 334 of the family's 1533-position model. The record is from RNAcentral.